This 138-nucleotide unclassified non-coding RNA is filed under the name plant metagenome. RNAcentral describes it as "partial contains small subunit ribosomal RNA and internal transcribed spacer 1". The stretch from base 1 to 46 matches the Rfam family "Eukaryotic small subunit ribosomal RNA", at positions 1786 to 1831 of the family's 1831-position model. The record is from RNAcentral.
AAGUCGUAACGAGGUUUCCGUAGGUGAACCUGCGGAAGGAUCAUUAAAGUUUGCUUAAUUGCAUUACACAUGUUUUUUUAGAGAACUGCUUGCAAGAACACUAAUAAUUUACUUAGUCAACAAAUAAAAAUAUCAAAA